This 1480-nucleotide long non-coding RNA is filed under the name Macaca mulatta (Rhesus monkey). RNAcentral describes it as "lncRNA (ENSMMUG00000053782.1)". The record is from RNAcentral. Lineage: Eukaryota; Metazoa; Chordata; Mammalia; Primates; Cercopithecidae.
CCAAGGACUGGUCUGCAGGAAGUAAGCAGAUGCACAGUUAAGAAAGCCCAUAUCAGGAGUUAGUCAUGAUAGAGAAGGAUUUGUACACUUUGGAAAUCGUAAAAGAAUGAAAAGCCCAGGUCUUUAUUUCCGUGUUUUCGCCUCUGUUUUUCACGUUCCUCCCGGAUUUCAAUUUCCUUCUGGAAUCUCAGCUCUCUUCAUCAUCUGCUCUUGCAGGAACACUAAACUGCAAACGCAACCCUACGAUUCAGGGAACUACGUCCCAUCAAGAUUAGUGGCUUCUGAGCGACCCUUGAAGAAAUUGACGGAAAACGGGAGGAAUUACCGCCAGUUCCUCUCCACGGGCGGUCAAGGCCAAUAUGAGUCUCCACCCCGGCUCCUCUGCUCGUAACUUCUAGCACAGUUCCCACUGUGUUCGCCCAUGUUUCCCGAAAGUGAAUAUUUGAUCCCUACCCCACCCCAUUUUUAGCAAACUCAGGAAAACGCUCUCGUUUUUCUACCUGAAAAGGGCACUUUAGAGAAAUACGUCCCGUUACAGUCUUUGUGUUCGCAUUUUAUUCCAUCUCGAUGAAACAGGUAUAAGUUCGUUGGUAUUUUAUGCACAAGACAACUUUGAAGCCCGACUCAUGGCCUUUGGCCUUUAGAUUAGGAAACAUUCUCCGGGAGCUCUGCUGAUCGCUAGGUCUUACGAGGUUGACGCCUUCUGUCCCAAAGAGAACUAUUUCUCUGCGUGUUUCCGCCUGGCUGCCCACUUCUCCAGUAGAGAAACGGCUGUUGCUCGGGAUUCAUUUUUGGAAGUGCUUUGGGUCCUGGGUAAUGAGGCCGCAUCCUGCAGCAUCGACAAGGUGGUUGAAUACGCAGGAGCACCCACAGUACCCAGGGACCAAUAAAUAGCUCAGUAGACCCAUUUCGAAUAAUUGAAUAAAGGAAGUCUCAACCAACCCCCUUGUUGUAUUACAGAUGGUCCACCUCUCUGCCUAGACUAUUGUGCUGACGUCCUGUUCCUUCUCCUGGCUUUUGAACUAGAUUCUCACCUCUCUCCAAUCCAUCUUUCGCGGGGCUGGCCUGUCUUUCCGCCUCACUUCUGAAAUUCAAUCCAUUGCCGCCUCUAUGCAAACCGACUCUGGUUAAUACUUCACUCGGUAUGGCUCCCCUCUUCCUUCCGCACUUUGCACUGCGAGAAAUGCCCUUCCUUGAGUCAGCUGGAGGCCUCCUUCUGCUGAGAGCUUAGUUGUGGACACAGCCUGGAGUAGAGGCGAAAAGGAAAGAAGGCCGGGAGAUAAUCGGGGAAACACACACACCUUUCGUGUGGUUUGAAAGCUGGUGCCCGAAAAGGGGAGCGAAAGAAACAAGAAAAAAAACACGCUCCAGAAGUGUCUGAGAUUGCUGCGGCCAUAAAGGAGAGAGCACUAACCGCGGUACGGAUACGGGAGGGGAGGAGGGCUCCACCCCCGGGCCUGUGCCCACGGACCUAGGUGAG